RNAcentral lists this ribosomal RNA (290 nucleotides) under Plasmodium ovale curtisi. RNAcentral describes it as "partial 18S small subunit ribosomal RNA". It matches the Rfam family "Eukaryotic small subunit ribosomal RNA", at positions 932 to 1187 of the family's 1831-position model. Lineage: Eukaryota; Apicomplexa; Aconoidasida; Haemosporida; Plasmodiidae. The record is from RNAcentral.
GAGACAAACAACUGCGAAAGCAUUUGCCUAAAAUACUUCCAUUAAUCAAGAACGAAAGUUAAGGGAGUGAAGACGAUCAGAUACCGUCGUAAUCUUAACCAUAAACUAUGCCGACUAGGUUUUGGAUGAAACAUUUUUAAAUAAGAAAAUUCCUUUCGGGGAAAUUUCUUAGAUUGCUUCUUUCAGUACCUUAUGAGAAAUCAAAGUCUUUGGGUUCUGGGGCGAGUAUUCGCGCAAGCGAGAAAGUUAAAAGAAUUGACGGAAGGGCACCACCAGGCGUGGAGCUUGCG